RNAcentral lists this transfer RNA (73 nucleotides) under Camelus bactrianus (Bactrian camel). It matches the Rfam family "tRNA". Rfam says of the family: Transfer RNA (tRNA) molecules are approximately 80 nucleotides in length. Their secondary structure includes four short double-helical elements and three loops (D, anti-codon, and T loops). RNAcentral also lists the same sequence under 3 other names. Lineage: Eukaryota; Metazoa; Chordata; Mammalia; Artiodactyla; Camelidae. The record is from Rfam by way of RNAcentral.
GAGGGUAUAGCUCAAGUGGUAGAGUGCGUGCUUAGCAUGCAUGAGGUCCUGGGUUCAAUCCCCAGUACCUUCU